This 111-nucleotide small RNA is filed under the name chicken gut metagenome. Its description in RNAcentral is "drum RNA". It matches the Rfam family "drum RNA". Rfam says of the family: Firmicutes, Bacteroidetes (1 example), Proteobacteria (2 examples), Spirochaetes (2 examples). The record is from RNAcentral.
AGCGUUGAAGUAAGGGAGUGUGCCGGAACGCAUUGCCUUAUGGAGCUUUCAGGAGGGGUUGUGCGGUGAAACCUCAAGCCGGUGUAGGCCGCAGGCUGAAAGAAAAUGCAC